Molecule: ribosomal RNA, 305 nt
Filed under: uncultured bacterium
Lineage: Bacteria
Description: partial 16S ribosomal RNA
Rfam family: Bacterial small subunit ribosomal RNA
Source: RNAcentral
ACAGCAGUCGCCACGGUAAAACGGAGGGUGCAAGCGUUAAUCGGAAUUACUGGGCGUAAAGCGCACGCAGGCGGUCUGACAAGUCAGAUGUGAAAUCCCCGGGCUUAACCUGGGAACUGCAUUUGAAACUGUCAGGCUGGAGUCUUGUAGAGGGGGGUAGAAUUCCAGGUGUAGCGGUGAAAUGCGUAGAGAUCUGGAGGAAUACCGGUGGCGAAGGCGGCCCCCUGGACAAAGACUGACGCUCAGGUGCGAAAGCGUGGGGAGCAAACAGGAUUAGAGACCCGCGUAGUCCCUGUCUCUUAUAC